Molecule: ribosomal RNA, 292 nt
Filed under: uncultured bacterium
Lineage: Bacteria
Description: partial 16S ribosomal RNA
Rfam family: Bacterial small subunit ribosomal RNA
Source: RNAcentral
GUGUCAGCCGCCGCGGUAAUACAGAGGGUGCGAGCGUUGUCCGGAAUCACUGGGCGUAAAGGGCGCGUAGGUGGCGCUCCAAGUCUGUGGUGAAAGCUCGAUGCUCAACAUCGAGUCGGCCACGGAGACUGGAGGGCUCGAGCACUGUAGGGGCAGAUGGAAUUCCGGGUGUAGCGGUGGAAUGCGUAGAGAUCCGGAAGAACACCGGUGGCGAAGGCGGUCUGCUGGGCAGUUGCUGACACUGAGGCGCGACAGCGUGGGGAGCAAACAGGAUUAGAAACCCUCGUAGUCC